CGACCCUAGAGAUAGGGCUUUCCCUUCGGGGACAGAGUGACAGGUGGUGCAUGGUUGUCGUCAGCUCGUGUCGUGAGAUGUUGGGUUAAGUCCCGCAACGAGCGCAACCCUUGAUCUUAGUUGCCAGCAUUCAGUUGGGCACUCUAAGGUGACUGCCGGUGACAAACCGGAGGAAGGUGGGGAUGACGUCAAAUCAUCAUGCCCCUUAUGACCUGGGCUACACACGUGCUACAAUGGACAGAACAAAGGGCUGCAAGACCGCAAGGUUUAGCCAAUCCCAUAAAUCUGUUCUCAGUUCGGAUCGCAGUCUGCAACUCGACUGCGUGAAGCUGGAAUCGCUAGUAAUCGCGGAUCAGC
RNAcentral lists this ribosomal RNA (357 nucleotides) under Bacillus sp. (in: firmicutes). RNAcentral's name for it is "bacterial SSU rRNA". It matches the Rfam family "Bacterial small subunit ribosomal RNA", at positions 995 to 1353 of the family's 1533-position model. The record is from RNAcentral. Lineage: Bacteria; Bacillati; Bacillota; Bacilli; Caryophanales; Bacillaceae.